Quercus robur (English oak) is the source of this 1458-nucleotide long non-coding RNA. RefSeq lists it as uncharacterized. NCBI's taxonomy places the organism in Eukaryota, Viridiplantae, Streptophyta, Magnoliopsida, Fagales, Fagaceae. The record is from RefSeq and is a predicted model, not a curated record. The transcript is spliced from 2 exons.
AGUCACAAAAGCACUCGUUGGUAAAGUCCUCCAUUUCUCACAAAAAAAAUUAAAAAAAAAAAAGUCCUCGAAGCCAUCCAAUCUGUCUUCCCCACACCAAAUCCAAGCCUUCAAAUCCCAACUUAGCCACAAUGGUGAAGAAGUUCAUGGAAAAGAAGUCGUCGUCUUCUUCGUUGAAGGCGGUGAAGAUGGUGAUUCCGUCAGAUGUGAUUGCAGAGGAAUAAAAUCGCCGUUUUUUCGACGAAGAGGAUUGUUCCUGUUUUCGGAAAGAUUCGCCGGCUCCGGCAACAGCAUCGGAGGCAGAUCAUCAAGAAGAACGAAAUCACGCUACUCCACCUUGGUCAGACCAGCUGAUCUCUCUCUCAUCUCCACUAUGUCUCCACGCUGCAAUGGUAUCACUCCCGACGCCGUCGUUUCUGCCCUUACCUUCCUCCAAAUCUUCGAUCGAGUUUACGACCUUCUCCACGGUCUCUCUCUCUCUCUCAGUCUUUGUUUGCUUGCUCAGAAAAUUUUGUGUUCUGAUUUUACUUUUGGAUUUUGUUUUAACAACUGAGGUGGAGCUAAGUUUCCGUUUGGUUGAGGAGAUAAUAUACAGUAACAGACCAAAGAGUGGGAAAAAAUACACUUGGAGGGGCGAUAAAACUAUUGGUAUUCAUGGGUAAAUUUUUUGGGUAGGAUAUGGGAAUACCCAAUCCAUACCUUAUCCAUGCCCAUCCCCAUGGCCAUCCCUAAAUGCACCGUAUAUUGACAACCAGGCAAUCAGCUCAUGCGCUUCUUGCAAUAAAUGACUAUUUCUCUCGUCUUCGAGCCCUUAGUUCCCUCUGGCUUGCACGGCCACGGGAAUGAGAAGCACAAAAUUGUCUUGAUGAAGUUCUUUUGAAGACUGACUCAACCCAUCCUAUCAAAUGAUCGUUAAGCAUAGAGUUCAUAAAGGAUCAGUCAUAUGAUUCAUCAUUCAGUGGAGUUGCUGCCGAUCUUUAAUCCUAAAUUCAUUUGGGAUUGGGUUGUCAUGCAUUAGUCACAUUGAUCAUCAAAUUGAAAGUUUGCAGAUCUCUUUGUUGUUGAUAUUGUCUCCAUCUACACUUCUUUUGUCACAUAUGUUUACCUAGGUCGUUUAUUCUCAUUUCUUAUGUUUAAACUAUAGAUCCAAUAAUCUGAUUAUGUUAGCUGUUUAAUAGAACCAGGAUGAAAAUAGGAUAGCAUUUGUAAUGUAGGUUACAGUAAUCGAUUUGUAUACCAGAAUCAGAUUAUAUAUUGGUGAAGGAGUUCUUUUUUUUUUUUUUUUGGUGUUUGGAUUUUCUUUAUUCAUAUUCAACAUGUAAAUAUGUUGCUGUGCGCAAUUUCAUUUGCAAUGAUAAUUUCGUAGGUUGGUUGUAUCGUUUGGUUUUAGUGGAAAGUCAAUUUUGUAUGCUGAAAUGUGCUGGGGAAGUUUGGCUAUAGUUGGGUUUCAUCAAAUUU